RNAcentral lists this long non-coding RNA (296 nucleotides) under Apteryx rowi (Okarito brown kiwi). RNAcentral describes it as "lncRNA (ENSARWG00000016099.1)". Lineage: Eukaryota; Metazoa; Chordata; Aves; Apterygiformes; Apterygidae. The record is from RNAcentral.
UUUGCCAGUUAGCAGGUUCUGCUUAUGUUGGCUCCUCAGUGCCCAGUCCACAGUCACACUGGUCUUUAAACUGUAGAAUUUCUCUCACUUCAGUGAACAAACUCAGAAGUCUAGAAGGAGGAACCCAUGUAACCCACCACAUGAUAAAAGCAGACUGAUUUUUAAUGAGGGGAAAACAGCCUGCAGUUCAUGUAGCUUUCAUUUGGACGGUUUGUUCUGAGAAGUCAUUUUUACCACUCACAUGCUGGAAAUAUAUCUGCAUUAUUAGUCAGUCAUAUAUGAAGACAAUACCUUAA